CAAAUCGCCUUGGGGUGGCUAACACCUGAGAUCUCGCGCAAGUGAGAAACCCAAUGAACCUGACCCAGAUAAUGCUGGCGUAGGGACAGGCAGAGCAUCUACAA
Molecule: non-coding RNA, 104 nt
Organism: Methylophilus sp. Leaf416
Lineage: Bacteria; Pseudomonadati; Pseudomonadota; Betaproteobacteria; Nitrosomonadales; Methylophilaceae
Source: Rfam